UCUUUUCUUUUGUUUGUUAUUUUCUUUGAAUAAGAGGAUUGAGAGUUUCUGAAUAUUGUGAAGUGAAUUAUGGAAUGGAAAUGUGAUUGAUAUUAUUUGAGAAGAAGAAAGAUUGAAUGUUGAAAUCUGAUUGUAGUUCAGCAGAGAGAAUGAGUCUGUGUUUGUUUGAAACAUCGUAUUGUGAAUGGCAGUUCUAUGUGAAGAAUUCUAGUGAUUAGAAUGAGGAUAAUUGUGUAUUAAAAGCUGUGAGGGCAUAGUAUUAUAGUUGGAGAUUAUGAGGGUGAAUAUAUUGGUGGAAAUAGCAGUUAUUGGUAUGACUGAAUUGUUGUACGGAAGAGAUUGAUAAGGUGAAGGAAGAGAUUAUAGUUUCCUUGUGUAUUCAGA
This 384-nucleotide long non-coding RNA is filed under the name Physcomitrium patens. Its description in RNAcentral is "long non-coding RNA (PPAT_LNC010737)". The record is from RNAcentral. Lineage: Eukaryota; Viridiplantae; Streptophyta; Bryopsida; Funariales; Funariaceae.